GUGUCGACCAAUCAGGAGCCGGUGCAGUCUGUUAUUGCUCUCUGAACAGAUAGGGAUAUUUUAAGAGCCGAGAGUGAGCCGAAUACUACAGGGAUUAUAUCAAAAGCAAGACUUCGACAUCUGGGGGCGAAGCGUCAAGCUCACGCGGAGCUGAAAGCGGCUACAUUCGGCACAAUAUGAGCUCUUUUAAACCUCUGAUCUGAUGAACGCGCGUGCAGGGACUGUUGAUGUGGCUUUGUAAAUAAGGAACCAUUAGGCAAUGUGUGUGAGCCAGAGGACAGAGCCUCAGGUGAAUAGAGUAUUUGUCAGAGAGGCGUGUGAUUGUGUCUGUGUGAAGCAGUCCUCAGGGUCUUUCCUCUAAGAGUGCCCUCAACGGUCGACAACGUCGAAAGUCGCCUACUUUAAGCGGAAAUAUGCGGAAGAGGAGGAUGUUCAGGGAAGCCUACAUGGAUAUUUACAAAAACACCUGAUCCUGCGUGAGGAGCGCAGCUGCAUCUUGCGCCUGUCUCUGCAGAAGCUGCGUUUCCUAGACGACCCCGAGGUUUACCUCCGCCGCUCAGUGCUCAUCAACAACCUGCUACGCAAGAUCCACCUGGACGAGGCCCAGAGGGAGAGGGAGAAACAGAGGGAUGACAAGGAGGAGGAGACAGAGAGGAGGCGGAAGAGACUGAAGGUGGUGCUCCAGGAGUUCCAGCAGUACAAGCUGCUGCCGUAUUCAUGCUGCCCAGCCACAUGCAUCUGUGCCCUGGGGAGCUGCCACACCCUGCCUCCUGAUCAUGGAGCUUCAGUGCUACUCUACCAUUUGGAUGACAAAGGAUAAGAUGUCGUCGUGUGCAUGCAGGGGAUUUCCAACAGUCCGUGACUGAUUUCCAGGAGCCAGCAAAAAA
This is a non-coding RNA of Pimephales promelas (fathead minnow), 887 nucleotides long. The record is from RefSeq and is a predicted model, not a curated record. Lineage: Eukaryota; Metazoa; Chordata; Actinopteri; Cypriniformes; Leuciscidae.